RNAcentral lists this ribosomal RNA (331 nucleotides) under uncultured bacterium. RNAcentral's name for it is "bacterial SSU rRNA". It matches the Rfam family "Bacterial small subunit ribosomal RNA", at positions 568 to 898 of the family's 1533-position model. The record is from RNAcentral.
UCCGUAGGCGGUGCGGCAAGUCGGAAGUGAAAUCUCAGGGCUUAACCCUGAGGCUGCUUCCGAAACUGCCGUGCUCGAGUGCGAGAGAGGCGAGUGGAAUUGCGAGGUGUAGCGGUGAAAUGCGUAGAUAUCUGCAGGAACAUCCGAGGCGAAAGCGGCUCGCUGGAUCGCAACUGACGCUGAGGGACGAAAGCUAGGGGAGCAAACAGGAUUAGAUACCCUGGUAGUCCUAGCCCUAAACGAUCAGGACUGGGCGUGGGCCUCGUACGGGGCUCGUGCCGCAGCUAACGCGUUAAGUCCUGCGCCUGGGGAGUACGGUCGCAAGGCUGAA